AUAAUCAUUUAAUUCAAUGUCGUUCUCUGUAUACUUGACCCCGGUACACUAGAGAUGGAAGGAUGCGUCCCAAGUAUUUUUAAUGGAUGUUGAAUAUGCCGGCACUGAUAUUAUCCAGCUAGAUUUAAGACAACAAGCCUAAGGACUCUUUAACUAUGCUAUUUUCGGAUACAUAAAAUGCUUGCUGCAAUGGAAGCAUUAUGAGCUUAGAGCUUGAGUAUCUAUCUAUUCGUCACUGUCAGUUUUCUCCCUGGUUCAAAACGAGGAUAUGUGCUAGCAUAAACAUUAGUGCUUAGAUUGAGGAGUACAUGUAUGGAAAAAAGGUGUGUAGGUAUGGGGGCUGGUUGUUUUUUUAUCUCUCUAUAUUUUCUAAUUUCUAAGUAAUUUCAUUCAUUUAUGAAUAAUGUUCGAAGCCGCAAACUGAAUUGUACAUCCACAAACUGAAUUGUCUUUCAAUGGGAGUAAAUUAAAGGGACGUAACUCUAAGAUUGGUCUAACAACCGCUCUGAAGAUGUCUACAUCAAAGUCAUUAUAUUUGGAUGGCAACCACAUGAAUUAUCUCCUUGCACAUGUUGAUACAUUUCUUUUCGACUGCGAUGGUACCUGUAACAUUCCUCAUCAGAUACAGGAGAAACAUUCAAUUCAUUGAUGGAGAUGCUGGUAGUUUGGUUCACAGUUUUCCCUUGUUUCACAACCAUAUAGGAAUAUCUAUCCUGACCAAGUUCUAACCCUAUAUCCUUUGAGAAUGUUGUAAUGAAGUCAAGGCUCUUUUUCUUAUCAAUCAUUUCUGUGGCGUAUAGCUUCAAGUUAUCUUCAAAGAAGCAGUGUGUAAUCUUUGUAUUUUUUUUCUCUAUGAACCAGUAAGAUACCCUUCAAACUUCCUCAACAUGAAUGACAAGUGGUUUAUUGAAAAUAUGGACAUCAUUGCAGGAGACUGUCUCUUUGGAAUAGACUUUUGUGAUACUAUAUUUUAUCUCUCAUUGUAUUUAACUUUAGAUGAAACGAGGUCAGUUAUGGCUUUGACUAUGUUCUCUGGAACUUUAGUGAGUCAAAGGACUCCUAGCAUCCUUGAAUGGGAAACAUAGUCAAAAGCUUUCUUAUAGUCCAACUACAUUGAAGUCAGGUUCCUCCUAUGCUGCCACACAUCUGACAUUACAGUUUUAUUUAUCAGCUAUUACUUAGUACAUAAAGCUUAAGUUAUUUUUUCAUGAAAUAUAUAAUUGAGGACAUUUUUCACCUGUAUUUAUCCCUAAUAAUUGCUGCAAUGAUCAUUAAGGUUGUACCUGGUGUUUAUUACAGUGGUAAUAGUUGCCUUAGCUUGUAAUGUAGUCCAGCUAACAGGCAAUAUAAUGUCUGUAGGAAUGUCUUUGACUGAAGUCUUCAUGGUAUUCUAACAUUGUUCACACUUUUGUUUAUACUGUUUGGCAUACAAUUUCAUCUCUUCUUUGGAUUAAGUUACAUUCAUUAACAUUCUUCCCAUAUUCAAGAAAUGUUUGUUGUUGGCAUUAUAUUUUUGCCAUAAAAUCUUUUACCAUUGGAAGCAGAUUGUCCUAGUAUGCUAUGCUCUUUUAUAAUGAUUAGCAGUUAUAUAAAUCAUUAUUGAGCUCAUAAUUUUGAAGAAAAUGCAUUUUAUAUUUACAGUUUCUUCUAUUGCUACAAUCUAUUGCUACAACUAAAAGAAAAUCUGUUUACUUUUUACAAUGUUAAUUUCUGUUUUGUAACUGUUGUUGUUGAUGCAGCACGUUCAGCCAUUUUAAGUUUGAGACAAAAAUUCAACUUGAAAUAACAGCACCUUCAGUCAAUUCAUUUGAAGAUUCAGCAGUUAUUUAACAGGGUUGAUAGUUGUGGAUUCAAAAUUGGACACAAUAUUCAAAGUUCUUUUUGAUGAAUCGUCUCCCACACCAAAUAUGCAACUUGUUGCUUUGUAUGUAUGUUCAUAUGCAUGCAUGCAUGCCUGCAUCCAUCAAUGCCUGCUUUCCUACCCACCUAUCUGUUUCAUUUGUUUUCUCUUUCUGUUCUAUUUUUAAUUAUUUGAAGCCUUCCUGUAAGGGAAAGAACUGUUUCUAACAAUGGUACAAAGUUCCAUAGUUGGAAUGUAGGUAACAAAAAUAAAUUUACAUUUUGAACUUGCAAAAA
RNAcentral lists this long non-coding RNA (2136 nucleotides) under Octopus sinensis (East Asian common octopus). RNAcentral describes it as "uncharacterized LOC118763321". The record is from RNAcentral. Lineage: Eukaryota; Metazoa; Mollusca; Cephalopoda; Octopoda; Octopodidae.